This 66-nucleotide transfer RNA is filed under the name Bos taurus (domestic cattle). It matches the Rfam family "tRNA", at positions 9 to 71 of the family's 71-position model. Rfam says of the family: Transfer RNA (tRNA) molecules are approximately 80 nucleotides in length. Their secondary structure includes four short double-helical elements and three loops (D, anti-codon, and T loops). Lineage: Eukaryota; Metazoa; Chordata; Mammalia; Artiodactyla; Bovidae. The record is from Rfam by way of RNAcentral. RNAcentral also lists the same sequence under 2 other names.
GGUCCAGUGGUUAAGACUCUGCACUUUCAAUGCAGAGGGUGCAGGUUUGAUCCCUGGUCAGGACUA